AGAGUUUGAUCAUGGCUCAGGAUGAACGCUGGCGGCAUGCCUAAGACAUGCAAGUCGAACGAAGGAACCCAAAGAAGAUGGAGUGCUUGCACGAAAUUGGAAAUGGACACUUCCUUAGUGGCAAACGGGUGAGUAACACGUGGGUAACCUACCUUUAAGAUGGGGAUAACAGUUGGAAACGAUUGCUAAUACCGAAUGUGAUCUACGGAUUAAAGGGGGCAUCAAAGCCUCGCUUAAAGAUGGGCCUGCGGCGUAUUAGAUAGUUGGUGAGGUAAUGGCUCACCAAGUCGACGAUACGUAGCCGAGCUGAGAGGUAAAACGGCCACACUGGGACUGAGACACGGCCCAGACUCCUACGGGAGACAGCAGUUAGGAAUAUUCGUCAAUGGGGGGAACCCUGAACGAGCAAUGCCGCGUGAGUGAAGAAGGUCCUCUGGAUUGUAAAACUCUGUUGUAUGGAAAGAAUAGUUAAAUUAGGAAAUGAAUUUAAAAGAGACGGUACCAUACGAGGAAGCCACGGCUAACUACGUGCCAGCAGCCGCGGUAAAACGUAGGUGGCGAGCGUUAUCCGGAUUUAUUGGGCGUAAAGCGUCCGCAGCCGGCAUUUUAAGUCUGUAAUAAAAGCCUGGAGCUCAACUCCAGUUCGUUACAGAAACUGAAAGGCUAGAGUGUGGUAGAGGCAAGUGGAAUUUCUAGUGUAGCGGUAGAAUGCGUAGAUAUUAGAAGGAACACCAGUGGCGAAGGCGACUUGCUGGGCCAAAACUGACGGUCAGGGACGAAAGCGUGGGGAGCAAAUAGGA
This 800-nucleotide ribosomal RNA is filed under the name uncultured bacterium. RNAcentral's name for it is "bacterial SSU rRNA". It matches the Rfam family "Bacterial small subunit ribosomal RNA", at positions 8 to 777 of the family's 1533-position model. The record is from RNAcentral.